RNAcentral lists this unclassified non-coding RNA (146 nucleotides) under uncultured fungus. Its description in RNAcentral is "sequence contains ITS1, 5.8S rRNA gene". RNAcentral also lists the same sequence under 1 other name. Lineage: Eukaryota; Fungi. The record is from RNAcentral.
CUGAGUGAGGGUUUAACCGCCCGACCUCCAACCCUUUGUGAAUCGUACUCGUUGCUUCGGGGGCGACCCUGCCGUCCGCGGCUGAGCGCCCCCGGGGUCAAUCAAACACUGCAUUCUCUGCGUCGGAGUAUUAGUAAAUCUAAUCA